AUACUUACCUGGCAGGGGAGAUACCAUGAUCACGAAGGUGGUUUUCCCAGGGCGAGGCUUAUCCCUUGCACUCCGGAUGUGCUGACCCCUGCGAUUUCCCCAAAUGUGGGAAACUCGACUGCAUAAUUUGUGGUAGUGGGGGACUGCGUUCGCGCUCUCCCAUG
RNAcentral lists this small nuclear RNA (164 nucleotides) under Rhinolophus ferrumequinum (greater horseshoe bat). RNAcentral describes it as "U1 spliceosomal RNA (ENSRFEG00010006805.1)". It matches the Rfam family "U1 spliceosomal RNA". Rfam says of the family: U1 is a small nuclear RNA (snRNA) component of the spliceosome (involved in pre-mRNA splicing). The record is from Rfam by way of RNAcentral. Lineage: Eukaryota; Metazoa; Chordata; Mammalia; Chiroptera; Rhinolophidae.